AAAGCCGUGAUUAGAGCGGUGACAAAUAUUAAUAGUGAACGGUUACAAACAAAAGUUAGGUAACCGGUGGUAGGGUUGAUAUUCGUUGAUAAUCGAUUGAUAAUAAUAGCCAAUUCCCCAAGGUUUAUAGAUUAUGUAACUUUUAAAAACGACGGCUUGUGUACGGUUGUGUAUCAAAAAUUACAUGUAGCCAUGUAGGGCAUAUGUAAUAGAAAUGAGUUACCUCAAAUUAAUUUAAACGCAAAUGAUAAAUUUAAUAUUUCCAAGAAAUUAUCAUUAGGUGUACCACGUAAUAUUCUAUUAGGGCAAUACGAAUCAACAUGCAAUCAGGAAAUAAGCAGUCGUAUUAAUUUAUUAAAUUAUAAUGAUGUGACGAAUAUUGCAAAGCAGUUUAUAAUCUUAACGAACCUUUUCCUAAAUUAUUUGAUGAAGAUUCUAAAAAUAUUGCCAGUUUUGUCUUGAAGAACAACAAUUCAAUACUUUUUUUCCAAAAAAAGAAGGAAUCGAAGAUGAUCAGUUUCCAACAUUCAAGAAGGACGAUUUUGCAUGGCGUAAAAAUUUGUGCAAAAUAAAAAAUAAAGAAAAGAAAGAAAUCGUCAUUAAAAUUCUUUAUGAUCUAUCUACUGAAUUAGAAUAUAUAGGGACACUUUAAAACAAACAACACACUUUUCUGUCGAACGAUGAUGACGAUCUUCAACAUUUUUUGGAUUAUUUUUUAAAAAUUAUGGCCAAAAUCAACAGUUUUGGGCAUACUGUUACAGUCAGUAUUCUGUCUGUAACACAAAUAUGAAUUUAGAAAGUUUCCAUAGAGUUUUAAAAGAAAAAAUUAAGAGUAGAUCAAAAGUUAAAAGCGUGUUCGAUUGUUUGUGUUGCUUGGAAAAAUAUUUAGUUAUGAAAGAAAAUGAUGUACAAAAAAAAAAACAAAUACGUUUUAAACGCACCAAUAAAUUGAAAUGUCUUCGUGCAAAUCAUAAGAAGAUUGAAAAACAAAGAGAAUCAAAAAAUAUAGUUAUAAAUUCAUUAGACUAAAACUAUUGGUAUGUUCAAUCGUUCAUUAAUGAAAAAAUUAUGUACAAUGUACUUAAAAGAGUGUACGUUGUAUGAAGAUGAGAUAUGUUUACUUCCUUGCACAAAAUGUAAUUCGUGUUUUCAUGAUUACACGUGUAAUUGCCUGGACCAUUAAAUUAGAAAUAACACGUGCAAGCAUAUUCACGCCGUUGCAAUGAACCUCCUUAGGCCAAAAAACGACAGCCAAUGUAGAGAAACAAUAAAAAGUAAAAGCACACAUAAUAUAGUAUACCUACAGACAAAAAUGGCAUGUAAAGAUGAUGAACCGAUAAUGGAUACAACACGUAAAGACGAGGAAACUCAACUACAUCACCAUAAAGAUGUUAUUUUAUUACAUAACUUAAGACAAAAAAUAUUACAAGUAGUUGAGCAAUUAUUACAGAAGAUUAAAUUAUUAGAACUACUACAACACAUACCUAAAUAAAAAAUUGAUUGCAUCCAUUCAUGUUUCCAUCGCUGCUUCAAACACUGAAACUGUACCUUUGAAAAAAAAAUCGGAAAGGGGUAAAAUGAAACCCCAAAAGAGAAUUUUGAACGUGCCAAUAAACAAGGCAAAUGAAGAAAACUAAAUUUACUAAAUUUCAGAAUUUUUUAGUGGAUAAUUUGUGAUUAGG
Molecule: long non-coding RNA, 1682 nt
Organism: Myzus persicae (green peach aphid)
Lineage: Eukaryota; Metazoa; Arthropoda; Insecta; Hemiptera; Aphididae
Exons: 3
Source: RefSeq, a predicted model, not a curated record